AACAUACUGAGUUAACACAUUUUCCUAGUAGUGAUAGAAUUUUCAGGGAAGCAAGAAACCAAGAAAAUUCUGGCUGCUACCUAAUUUUAAUGAAGUUGGCGAUUAUCUGCCCACAAGGUAUGAGAAGUAUAGAUGUGCAUUGCUCUACAAAUAUACAAUGCAAUAAGGCCCACUCGAAAUUCAUGAAAGGCUUGCCAAGCCACAUGGCUUGAUUGGUCGUAGGUAGAUGCAUGAUGUCCCUCUUAGAAUGAGGCCCAUGUUUAAAAUCCACAUUUACAAAAGGAUUAGGUACAAUUGUGAUGUUUUGAGAUAACCAAAGUGUGUCAUGAAAAAGAACGUCAAGAAGAAAGGCAGAGGAACUCAUGAGUUUGAAUGGUUAAACUGAAGGCAAGAAAAAGUCCUAAGAAUAAAACUGAAAAAUAUUUUAAUAUGCCUGUGUAUCUUUCACAGAGUGGAUUCAACUGCACAUAAGAAGAACAUAAUGUUGAAGUCAUUUCAGAGUGCAAAUAUCAUUGAAUUGCUUCAUUAUCACCAGUGUGACUCUCGAUCAUCAACAAAAGCAGAAAUUCUGAAAUGUUUGCUAAACCUGCAAAUUCAGCAUAUUGAUGCCAGGUUUGCUGUCCUCCUAACAGACAAGCCUACUAUCCCCAGAGAAGUCUUUGAAAAUAGUGGAAUCCUUGUUACAGAUGUAAAUAACUUUAUAGAAAACAUAGAAAAAAUAGCAGCUCCAUUUAGGAGUAGCUAUUGGUAAGAACACUUUUUAUGUAACUUUCCCAUGUGAGUUGGAGUUGUUGAUGGCAAAUAUUGACAUUUGUGUCUAAGGAAACAGUUGGGAAACUGUUGUUUACAUACUUCAUGCUAUAAAUUUAAAGUGUUUGUUUAGGGGUGGAAUUGCUAUUUGGCAUAAAUAGGAAUUCCUAAAUUAUCACUAAAUGAAGUAACCAUCUACUAAAAUUACCUAUUUUAUCUAAUGUGCAUUUUCACUUGCUGUUAACUUGGAUUGUCAGUACAGAACAUAAUGUAACCUUAGAAUGCAUAGGCGUUUUCCCCAUUAGAGCAUCCCGCUUAUAAAAUAUUUCUUGUUCAUAUUAUUUUAAGAAGUUCUUUAUCAAUUUUGUGUUUCUUCAGGUGACUCAACUACAGCCUGCCUGGAUAUGGAUGAUGCCAAUAAAAAAUUAGUAUUUUCCCUUUGGAAAACUUGUGAACAUGUGAAUACACAUGUGAACAGUCUGAAAAAUCAAUGUUCUACAACUUGGAAAGUUUUCAUUUUUUAUAUUUUGCUGAAAUAUGUCACAGUGGCAUUGUAGUUGUCUGUUAGCUUUGGGUUGCAGUGCUACAUAUUGUUUUAAAUUAUUUUCAUUUUAAAUAAGAUGCCUUCUAAGCUAUUGAGCUUAUUAAAAAUAAUUUUACAUGUUGGAGCAAAAAUAAGUCUAUUUUAACAAAUAGCUUUGUUUUUGCAUGCUAAUGUCAGAAAGGCAUACAGUGCACAUUAUGCUGUUUUAAAGGUUUUACCACCCUUGUAAAAACUAUAAUCUUAAAUGGUUUUAUUUGCUGUUACACAAACAACACUACAUAAAACAUUUUUUCCUAAAUGGUACAAAUUUAUAAACUAUCAUUUUUCACUUACGGUAUUUGUAAAUACUACACUACAAAAAUCAGCUUUCUGAGAAAGAAAUAAUCAUUUAUUUAUGAUAUUGAAAAUUUCUACAGUAAACACUCAAAACCAAGCAAAAAACAUUUGUAAGAUACAUGGUAUCUAUUUGGAGCAACGGUUUUUGUAACUAAUGUGUUUCAUUUUUUAAAUAAAGACAACUAAAAAUCA
RNAcentral lists this small RNA (1822 nucleotides) under Pan troglodytes (chimpanzee). RNAcentral describes it as "retained intron". Lineage: Eukaryota; Metazoa; Chordata; Mammalia; Primates; Hominidae. The record is from RNAcentral.